GAGUCUUUAGUGGGCAAGAGAGGAAAAAUGCUCUUUGAAGCAGGGGAUGCCAUGCUGCCACUACCUAUUGAAUCCACUGGCAUAUUCCUUUUCCUUUUCUUUUUUGGCAUUUUACUGCCUCUCAAGAGUCACAAUUUCCAGUGAAAGAAUAAGUAUCAUCCAGCCUUCCAAUUUGCUUGAAGAAUUAAUUCAAGAUUUUUGUUUGAUGAAGAAAUGGACAGGGAAUCCAUGAACUUUAUUCUCCUGGUGAAGAAACACGCUUGCUUUUGCCAUCAAGUACAGGAAAUGGUGUUUGAUAAGCCUCUAUCUUGCUGCCACUGAAUUUCUUUUGAUUGAGCAUGAAGUAAAAUACAAUGUUUGGACCCUUUUCUCUGCCACAUUUAGUAAGUCAUCUGUCUGUCGUAGACAGUAAUUUCCUAUUUUGGCUCUUUCGAACCAGAUUUUGUUUCCUUCU
This is a long non-coding RNA of Lagopus muta (rock ptarmigan), 454 nucleotides long. RefSeq lists it as uncharacterized. NCBI's taxonomy places the organism in Eukaryota, Metazoa, Chordata, Aves, Galliformes, Phasianidae. The record is from RefSeq and is a predicted model, not a curated record. The transcript is spliced from 3 exons.